This 254-nucleotide ribosomal RNA is filed under the name uncultured bacterium. RNAcentral describes it as "partial 16S ribosomal RNA". It matches the Rfam family "Bacterial small subunit ribosomal RNA", at positions 524 to 776 of the family's 1533-position model. The record is from RNAcentral.
UACGGGGGGAGCAAGCGUUGUUCGGAUUUACUGGGCGUAAAGGGCGCGUAGGCGGUCAGCACAAGUCAGUUGUGAAAUCUCCGGGCUUAUCUCGGAAAGGUCAACUGAUACUGUGCGACUAGAGUGCGGAAGGGGCAACUGGAAUUCUUGGUGUAGCGGUGAAAUGCGUAGAGAUCAGGAAGAACAUCGGUGGCGAAGGCGCUCUGCUGGACCAUAACUGACACUCAGGGACGAAAGCUAGGGGAGCGAAUGGG